GCCAGCGGGUUGCUCCCCUUCGCCCGGUCACGUGCUCGGGGAGGAGCGGGGGCGCCCCCAGGGCGGUUCCUGAUGGGCAGAGACCUGAACCAAGGCGGGGAACUUCUCCCAUUUAAGCGGAAGCAAGGAAGGUUAGACCUUUCCACUUUGUAGCUCUGUGGUUGCAAAGUAAGCAAACCCCAGAGAAAAGCCUGACCGCGCACUUGUGUCAUUACUGCCCUGCUCGCGUGGCCGUACCCGAAGUCAGCUGCGCUGGUGCGAGAGUUGUCAUGGUCUGCUAAAAGUGAUUUUAGACGGCUUACAAAAAUGUCUCUCUUAAGCUUUUUCUUCUUGCUGAUACUGGCUCAGAUACUGCUGGGAAAGACAACUUAAAAAUCUGUAAUUCAAACGUAGCAAAAAGGAGGAAAGACAAACUUCAAGCCCUCAUUGCAAAUGGACUGCCUUGCCUGGAAAAGAGACUGCCAGAUGAGACAGCAGCCGGAGCCCUGGAGGACGCGAUUGAAACGUGUCACUAGAAAUGGCUUAAGUGGAGAGUUCUGGCCCUUUUAAAACACUGUCUGUCGCUUGAGGAUUGGGUCACCUUGAAAUGUGUUCAUCUUUGAAUUAAAGGCAUGAAAAGGCACUUUGAAACA
This is a long non-coding RNA of Mesocricetus auratus (golden hamster), 632 nucleotides long. RefSeq lists it as uncharacterized. The transcript has 2 exons. NCBI's taxonomy places the organism in Eukaryota, Metazoa, Chordata, Mammalia, Rodentia, Cricetidae. The record is from RefSeq and is a predicted model, not a curated record.